Molecule: non-coding RNA, 205 nt
Filed under: Pseudomonas flexibilis
Lineage: Bacteria; Pseudomonadati; Pseudomonadota; Gammaproteobacteria; Pseudomonadales; Pseudomonadaceae
Source: RNAcentral
GCGCGCGUUUUUCUUGUCGGUGCGCAAGCGUUUUUGCGUUAAACGGGAAGCCGGUGGCGCUCUUUGGAGCCAUCCCGGCACUGCCCCCGCAACGGUGAAUGACCGCCCCUCGGGCGGCGACUCCAACAGCCACUGGGAAUUUUCCCGGGAAGGCGGAGUCGUCAGGGUCAUGAGUCCGGAGACCGGCCGACAGGAAGCGACUGGU